ACUAUACGGUGAAACUGCGAAUGGCUCAUUAAAUCAGUUAUCGUUUAUUUGAUAGUACCUUACUACAUGGAUAACCGUGGUAAUUCUAGAGCUAAUACAUGCUAAAAACCUCGACUUCGGAAGGGGUGUAUUUAUUAGAUAAAAAACCAAUGCCCUUCGGGGCUCCUUGGUGAAUCAUAAUAACUUAACGAAUCGCAUGGCCUUGCGCCGGCGAUGGUUCAUUCAAAUUUCUGCCCUAUCAACUUUCGAUGGUAGGAUAGUGGCCUACCAUGGUAUCAACGGGUAACGGGGAAUUAGGGUUCGACUCCGGAGAGGGAGCCUGAGAAACGGCUACCACAUCCAAGGAAGGCAGCAGGCGCGCAAAUUACCCAAUCCCGACACGGGGAGGUAGUGACAAUAAAUACUGAUACAGGGCUCUUUUGGGUCUUGUAAUUGGAAUGAGUACAAUUUAAAUCCCUUAACGAGGAACAAUUGGAGGGCAAGUCUGGUGCCAGCAGCCGCGGUAAUUCCAGCUCCAAUAGCGUAUAUUAAAGUUGUUGCAGUUAAAAAGCUCGUAGUUGAACCUUGGGCCUGGCUGGCCGGUCCGCCUCACCGCGUGUACUGGUCCGGCCGGGCCUUUCCUUCUGGGGAACCUCAUGCCCUUCACUGGGCGUGUUGGGGAACCAGGACUUUUACUUUGAAAAAAUUAGAGUGUUCAAAGCAGGCCUUUGCUCGAAUACAUUAGCAUGGAAUAAUAGAAUAGGACGUGUGGUUCUAUUUUGUUGGUUUCUAGGACCGCCGUAAUGAUUAAUAGGGAUAGUCGGGGGCAUCAGUAUUCAAUCGUCAGAGGUGAAAUUCUUGGAUUGAUUGAAGACUAACUACUGCGAAAGCAUUUGCCAAGGAUGUUUUCAUUAAUCAGUGAACGAAAGUUAGGGGAUCGAAGACGAUCAGAUACCGUCGUAGUCUUAACCAUAAACUAUGCCGACUAGGGAUCGGACGGUGUUAGUAUUUUGACCCGUUCGGCACCUUACGAGAAAUCAAAGUUUUUGG
RNAcentral lists this ribosomal RNA (1029 nucleotides) under Cladosporium cladosporioides. Its description in RNAcentral is "SSU rRNA". It matches the Rfam family "Eukaryotic small subunit ribosomal RNA", at positions 73 to 1110 of the family's 1831-position model. The record is from RNAcentral. Lineage: Eukaryota; Fungi; Ascomycota; Dothideomycetes; Cladosporiales; Cladosporiaceae.